Molecule: long non-coding RNA, 152 nt
Organism: Octopus sinensis (East Asian common octopus)
Lineage: Eukaryota; Metazoa; Mollusca; Cephalopoda; Octopoda; Octopodidae
Exons: 2
Source: RefSeq, a predicted model, not a curated record
GGCGGUUUCCCACCCACCCUUUUUUUCCGAACAAAAAUAAGGGAGUUUGCAGCAUAUUAGGAGGUCAGGGUACUUGAUUCCAUGCAAAAAAAUCUGAGUUUUUAUUUUUUUUCUUAGUGAAAAUCAUGCAGGUGAAAGAAUCAAAUAAUACC